Molecule: long non-coding RNA, 1161 nt
Organism: Vigna radiata var. radiata (mung bean)
Lineage: Eukaryota; Viridiplantae; Streptophyta; Magnoliopsida; Fabales; Fabaceae
Exons: 4
Source: RefSeq, a predicted model, not a curated record
GUCCGACCCCCUGUUGGAGAAUCAAACAGGGAGAUGCCUCUGUCUGAAUUAAAAAGUAAAUAUAGAAAAUUUUCGUCUUUAGAGAAGGCUCAGUCUGGUUGGGAAGAGGAAUAUGAAGUUUCAUCCAAAUAGUGUAUGCAUGGUCCCAAUUGUAAGAUUGGCAACUUUUGUAAAGUAAAUGUCUUGGGUGGCCUCAUCCUUCCUGUGUGGGGAGCCGUAGAAAAGCCCUUUCGAAACAGGUACUUCUGCAGCAUAGAAGUUGCCACGCACUAAAACAUUUUAUUGAAAAAGGCCUAUUAAUUAAACUGGUGAUUGGAGUUGAAUUUUGUAAUGAUGAGGUUUGCAGUGUAAAAUAUCUAGCAGAUUGUGUUGGAUUAUGAUAUCAGUUGAUAUGAUUUCUUAUAGUAUUAUUCACACAUAUCCUGUCGAGUGUACAUUAACCUUCGAGGUUCGUUAGAAUUUAUUUCUUUACUGUCGAAUUGUUGGAUCAUUAUCAAUUACUUGUGACUAAAUAUAAUAUUUUGAUUGAUAGUACUUCAAGAAAUUGCUUAAACAUAUUUGUCUUUGAAGAAAACUAAACUGCAGAACAAAAUCUGUACAGGCCCGUCUAAGCCAUAGGAGGUUACGAGCUGUACGCAUUGAAACUACUGUGGACACCCAACGUAUUGUUGGGCUUCUUGUUCCUAAUGCAGCAGUGGAAACUGUGCUUCAAGAUUUAGCAUGGGUUCAAGAAAUUGAUGAUUGACAUGUGAUAGUAGGAUUUGCUCAACUUUUUUUUUUAUCGAAGUUUGAAUUUCGGUACCACCUUUUGGAAGUUGCUUGCGCUACCACUGAUAUUUGGUGUCUUCGAAUGUCGAGAAGCAAUUAAUUUUUAUUUUUUUUUGGAAAAGGGUCUGCAUUGACGCAGAAUUUUUUUGAGGGGAAGGACUCAAUCUCUUCGACCCACAACACAAUUGUGCAGUCUCAAUUUUAGUAUUGUUUUGUCACCCAUUUAGCGAUGUAAUUCGAUUUUGUAUAUUUGUAAAGAUGAUUCACUGAAAAAGCGAAACAGUAGAUAGCUAGGUUGUAUCACAUAUAGUCCAGUCAAUCUGAACUAGUUUGUAUCAGAUAUCACGAAUGAUUACUGAAAUCAUAGUUGAAGUAAAUAUUCCUUUUGAGCAA